GCGGUCAUGGCCUAGUGGUUAAGGCGAUGGACUGGAAAUCUAUUGGGGUCUCAGCGCACAGGUUCGAAUCCUGUCUACUGUC
RNAcentral lists this transfer RNA (82 nucleotides) under Ixodes scapularis (black-legged tick). It matches the Rfam family "tRNA". From Rfam's summary of the family: Transfer RNA (tRNA) molecules are approximately 80 nucleotides in length. Their secondary structure includes four short double-helical elements and three loops (D, anti-codon, and T loops). Further hydrogen bonds mediate the characteristic L-shaped molecular structure. tRNAs have two regions of fundamental functional importance: the anti-codon, which is responsible for specific mRNA codon recognition, and the 3' end, to which the tRNAs corresponding amino acid is attached (by aminoacyl-tRNA synthetases). tRNAs cope with the degeneracy of the genetic code in two manners: having more than one tRNA (with a specific anti-codon) for a particular amino acid; and 'wobble' base-pairing, i.e. permitting non-standard base-pairing at the 3rd anti-codon position. The record is from Rfam by way of RNAcentral. Lineage: Eukaryota; Metazoa; Arthropoda; Arachnida; Ixodida; Ixodidae.